CCUACGGGCGGCAGCAGUGGGGAAUAUUGCGCAAUGGGCGAAAGCCUGACGCAGCGACGCCGCGUGAGGGAUGAAGGUCUUCGGAUCGUAAACCUCUGUCAGCAGGGAAGAACGGUCACUGUGCUAAUCAGCAGUGAAUUGACGGUACCUGCAAAGGAAGCACCGGCUAACUCCGUGCCAGCAGCCGCGGUAAUACGGAGGGUGCGAGCGUUAAUCGGAAUUACUGGGCGUAAAGCGCUCGUAGGCGGUAUGUCAAGUCAAGGGUGAAAUCCCCGCGCUCAACGUGGGAACUGCCUUUGAAACUGGCAAACUGGAGUGUGUGAGAGGAUAGUGGAAUUCCAGGUGUAGGAGUGAAAUGCGUAGAUAUCUGGAGGAACAUCAGUGGCGAAGGCGACUAUCUGGCACAUAACUGACGCUGAGGAGCGAAAGCGUGGGUAGCAAACAGGAUUAGAUACCCGGGUAGUC
This 465-nucleotide ribosomal RNA is filed under the name uncultured bacterium. RNAcentral describes it as "partial 16S ribosomal RNA". It matches the Rfam family "Bacterial small subunit ribosomal RNA", at positions 338 to 795 of the family's 1533-position model. The record is from RNAcentral.